UUUAACGGCCGCGGUAUUUUGACCGUGCAAAGGUAGCGCAAUCACUUGUCUUUUAAAUGAAGACCUGUAUGAAUGGCAUAACGAGGGCUUAACUGUCUCCUUUUUCCAGUCAAUGAAAUUGAUCUCCCCGUGCAGAAGCGGGGAUAUUAACAUAAGACGAGAAGACCCUAUGGAGCUUUAGACACCAGAACAGACCAUGUUAAACACCCCUUAAAUGAAGGACAAAACUGAUUGGCCCCUGUUCUAAUGUCUUUGGUUGGGGCGACCGCGGGGAAACAAAAAACCCCCAUGUGGACCGGGAGCACACUACUCCCACAACCCAGAGGCACAACUCCAAGUAACAGAACUUCUGACCAACAAGAUCCGGCACAUAGCCGAUCAACGGACCGAGUACCCUAGG
Molecule: ribosomal RNA, 400 nt
Filed under: Cyphotilapia gibberosa
Lineage: Eukaryota; Metazoa; Chordata; Actinopteri; Cichliformes; Cichlidae
Description: partial 16S ribosomal RNA
Rfam family: Bacterial large subunit ribosomal RNA
Source: RNAcentral